RNAcentral lists this microRNA precursor (141 nucleotides) under Gossypium hirsutum (cotton). Its description in RNAcentral is "MIR7502 microRNA precursor family". It matches the Rfam family "MIR7502 microRNA precursor family". The record is from Rfam by way of RNAcentral. Lineage: Eukaryota; Viridiplantae; Streptophyta; Magnoliopsida; Malvales; Malvaceae.
GGUGAAAACUUUUAUUUGUUUGUACUGUUAAAAUUUGAUUGGUAGAAUAAUCGAAUAAUGAUACAUGACGUGCCACUUGUACCUCAUGCUAAUUUAUAAAGAUCAAUUUUUAACUGUAAAAAUAGAUAAAAUUUUUUUAUA